GACAGAGGGUGCGAACGUUGCUCGGAAUCACUGGGCGUAAAGCGCGUGUAGGCGGUGCCGCACGUCGGAUGUGAAAGCCCGGGGCUCAACCCCGGAAGCGCAUCUGAAACGACGGCGCUGGAGGGUGAGAGAGGCGAGUGGAAUUCCCGGUGUAGAGGUGAAAUUCGUAGAUAUCGGGAGGAACACCAGUGGCGUAGGCGACUCGCUGGCUCACUACUGACGCUGAGACGCGAAAGCGUGGGGAGCAAACAGG
Molecule: ribosomal RNA, 253 nt
Filed under: uncultured bacterium
Lineage: Bacteria
Description: partial 16S ribosomal RNA
Rfam family: Bacterial small subunit ribosomal RNA
Source: RNAcentral